This 312-nucleotide unclassified non-coding RNA is filed under the name plant metagenome. Its description in RNAcentral is "partial contains 5.8S ribosomal RNA, internal transcribed spacer 2, and large subunit ribosomal RNA". The stretch from base 1 to 105 matches the Rfam family "5.8S ribosomal RNA", at positions 50 to 154 of the family's 154-position model. The record is from RNAcentral.
GAAAUGCGAUAAGUAAUGUGAAUUGCAGAAUUCCGUGAAUCGUCGAAUCUUUGAACGCACAUUGCGCCCUCUGGCAUUCCGGGGGGCAUGCCUGUCCGAGCGUCAUUACGCACCCUCAAGCCCGGCUUGUGUGAUGGGCCCCGGCGUCUCGUUCGCGAGACGGGCCCGAAAGGCAGCGGCGGCGUCGACCCGAUGAGCCCGAGCGUAUGGGGACUUCUGUCACACGUUCGCGGUGCGGACCGGCGCCUGCUUGACUUUUCUGAUUAUCCAGGUUGACCUCGGAUCAGGUAGGGAUACCCGCUGAACUUAAGC